CCUACGGGGGGCAGCAGUGAGGAAUAUUGGUCAAUGGACGAGAGUCUGAACCAGCCAAGUAGCGUGAAGGAUGACUGCCCUAUGGGUUGUAAACUUCUUUUAUAUGGGAAUAAAAUGUUCCAAGUGUGGGAUUUUGUAUGUACCAUAUGAAUAAGAAUCGGCUAACUCCGGGCCAGCAGCCGCGGUAAUACGGAGGAUCCGAGCGUUAUCCGGAUUUAUUGGGUUUAAAGGGAGCGUAGGGGGAUUGUUAAGUCAGUUGUGAAAGUUUGCGGCUCAAACGUGAAAUUGCAGUUGAAACUGGCAGUCUUGAGUACAGUAGAGGUGGGCGGAAUUCGUGGUGUAGCGGUGAAAUGCUUAGAUAUCACGCAGAACUCCGAUUGCGAAGGCAGUUCACUGGACUGCAACUGACACUGAGGCUCGAAAGUGUGGGUAUCAAACAGGAUUAGAUACCCUUGUAGUC
RNAcentral lists this ribosomal RNA (460 nucleotides) under uncultured bacterium. RNAcentral describes it as "partial 16S ribosomal RNA". It matches the Rfam family "Bacterial small subunit ribosomal RNA", at positions 338 to 795 of the family's 1533-position model. The record is from RNAcentral.